UUGCUUUGGAAGCACAAAUACUAAAAGUGGAAUGACACAGAGGAAAUUAGCGUGCUCUUGUGCAAGGAUUACAUAUAAAUUCAUGAAGCAUUAAAAAAACCC
This is a small nuclear RNA of Gracilinanus agilis (Agile Gracile Mouse Opossum), 102 nucleotides long. The record is from RefSeq and is a predicted model, not a curated record. NCBI's taxonomy places the organism in Eukaryota, Metazoa, Chordata, Mammalia, Didelphimorphia, Didelphidae.